This 274-nucleotide ribosomal RNA is filed under the name uncultured bacterium. RNAcentral describes it as "partial 16S ribosomal RNA". It matches the Rfam family "Bacterial small subunit ribosomal RNA", at positions 523 to 796 of the family's 1533-position model. The record is from RNAcentral.
AUACGGAGGAUCCAAGCGUUAUCCGGAAUCAUUGGGUUUAAAGGGUGCGUAGGUGGAUGAUUAAGUCAGAGGUGAAAUCCUGCAGCUCAACUGUAGAAUUGCCUUUGAUACUGGUCAUCUUGAGUUAUUGUGAAGUAGUUGGAACAUGUAGUGUAGCGGUGAAAUGCAUAGAUAUUACAUAGAACACCGAUUGCGAAGGCAGAUUACUAACAAUAUACUGACACUGAGGGACGAAAGCGUGGGGAGCGAACAGGAUUAGAAACCCCAGUAGUCC